GAACGAACGCUGGCGGCAGGCUUAACACAUGCAAGUCGAACGCCCCGCAAGGGGAGUGGCAGACGGGUGAGUAACGCGUGGGAAUCUACCCAUCUCUGCGGAAUAGCUCUGGGAAACUGGAAUUAAUACCGCAUACGCCCUACGGGGGAAAGAUUUAUCGGGGAUGGAUGAGCCCGCGUUGGAUUAGCUAGUUGGUGGGGUAAAGGCCUACCAAGGCGACGAUCCAUAGCUGGUCUGAGAGGAUGAUCAGCCACAUUGGGACUGAGACACGGCCCAAACUCCUACGGGAGGCAGCAGUGGGGAAUAUUGGACAAUGGGCGCAAGCCUGAUCCAGCCAUGCCGCGUGAGUGAUGAAGGCCUUAGGGUUGUAAAGCUCUUUCACCGGUGAAGAUAAUGA
RNAcentral lists this ribosomal RNA (397 nucleotides) under Rhizobium sp. Its description in RNAcentral is "bacterial SSU rRNA". It matches the Rfam family "Bacterial small subunit ribosomal RNA", at positions 27 to 454 of the family's 1533-position model. Lineage: Bacteria; Pseudomonadati; Pseudomonadota; Alphaproteobacteria; Hyphomicrobiales; Rhizobiaceae. The record is from RNAcentral.